RNAcentral lists this unclassified non-coding RNA (348 nucleotides) under soil metagenome. RNAcentral's name for it is "partial contains 5.8S ribosomal RNA, internal transcribed spacer 2, and large subunit ribosomal RNA". The stretch from base 1 to 120 matches the Rfam family "5.8S ribosomal RNA", at positions 35 to 154 of the family's 154-position model. The record is from RNAcentral.
GAUGAAGAACGUAGCGAAAUGCGAUAAGUAAUGUGAAUUGCAGAAUUCAGUGAAUCAUCGAGUCUUUGAACGCACAUUGCGCCCCCUGGUAUUCCGGGGGGCAUGCCUGUCCGAGCGUCAUUGCUGCCCUCAAGCACGGCUUGUGUGUUGGGCCGCCGUCCCCGGUUUCCCCCGGGGACGGGCCCGAAAGGCAGCGGCGGCACCGCGUCCGAUCCUCGAGCGUAUGGGGCUUUGUCACCCGCUCUGUAGGCCCGGCCGGCGCCAGCCGACACCCAACUUUAUUUCUAAGGUUGACCUCGGAUCAGGUAGGGAUACCCGCUGAACUUAAGCAUAUCAAUAAGCGGAGGA